Molecule: ribosomal RNA, 1808 nt
Filed under: Escherichia coli
Lineage: Bacteria; Pseudomonadati; Pseudomonadota; Gammaproteobacteria; Enterobacterales; Enterobacteriaceae
Description: partial 23S ribosomal RNA
Rfam family: Bacterial large subunit ribosomal RNA
Source: RNAcentral
GAGCACUGUUUCGGCAAGGGGGUCAUCCCGACUUACCAACCCGAUGCAAACUGCGAAUACCGGAGAAUGUUAUCACGGGAGACACACGGCGGGUGCUAACGUCCGUCGUGAAGAGGGAAACAACCCAGACCGCCAGCUAAGGUCCCAAAGUCAUGGUUAAGUGGGAAACGAUGUGGGAAGGCCCAGACAGCCAGGAUGUUGGCUUAGAAGCAGCCAUCAUUUAAAGAAAGCGUAAUAGCUCACUGGUCGAGUCGGCCUGCGCGGAAGAUGUAACGGGGCUAAACCAUGCACCGAAGCUGCGGCAGCGACGCUGAUGCGUUGUUGGGUAGGGGAGCGUUCUGUAAGCCUGUGAAGGUGUGCUGUGAGGCAUGCUGGAGGUAUCAGAAGUGCGAAUGCUGACAUAAGUAACGAUAAAGCGGGUGAAAAGCCCGCUCGCCGGAAGACCAAGGGUUCCUGUCCAACGUUAAUCGGGGCAGGGUGAGUCGACCCCUAAGGCGAGGCCGAAAGGCGUAGUCGAUGGGAAACAGGUUAAUAUUCCUGUACUUGGUGUUACUGCGAAGGGGGGACGGAGAAGGCUAUGUUGGCCGGGCGACGGUUGUCCCGGUUUAAGCGUGUAGGCUGGUUUUCCAGGCAAAUCCGGAAAACUAAGGCUGAGGCGUGAUGACGAGGCACUACGGUGCUGAAGCAACAAAUGCCCUGCUUCCAGGAAAAGCCUCUAAGCAUCAGGUAACAUCAAAUCGUACCCCAAACCGACACAGGUGGUCAGGUAGAGAAUACCAAGGCGCUUGAGAGAACUCGGGUGAAGGAACUAGGCAAAAUGGUGCCGUAACUUCGGGAGAAGGCACGCUGAUAUGUAGGUGAAGUCCCUCGCGGAUGGAGCUGAAAUCAGUCGAAGAUACCAGCUGGCUGCAACUGUUUAUUAAAAACACAGCACUGUGCAAACACGAAAGUGGACGUAUACGGUGUGACGCCUGCCCGGUGCCGGAAGGUUAAUUGAUGGGGUCAGCGCAAGCGAAGCUCUUGAUCGAAGCCCCGGUAAACGGCGGCCGUAACUAUAACGGUCCUAAGGUAGCGAAAUUCCUUGUCGGGUAAGUUCCGACCUGCACGAAUGGCGUAAUGAUGGCCAGGCUGUCUCCACCCGAGACUCAGUGAAAUUGAACUCGCUGUGAAGAUGCAGUGUACCCGCGGCAAGACGGAAAGACCCCGUGAACCUUUACUAUAGCUUGACACUGAACAUUGAGCCUUGAUGUGUAGGAUAGGUGGGAGGCUUUGAAGUGUGGACGCCAGUCUGCAUGGAGCCGACCUUGAAAUACCACCCUUUAAUGUUUGAUGUUCUAACGUUGACCCGUAAUCCGGGUUGCGGACAGUGUCUGGUGGGUAGUUUGACUGGGGCGGUCUCCUCCUAAAGAGUAACGGAGGAGCACGAAGGUUGGCUAAUCCUGGUCGGACAUCAGGAGGUUAGUGCAAUGGCAUAAGCCAGCUUGACUGCGAGCGUGACGGCGCGAGCAGGUGCGAAAGCAGGUCAUAGUGAUCCGGUGGUUCUGAAUGGAAGGGCCAUCGCUCAACGGAUAAAAGGUACUCCGGGGAUAACAGGCUGAUACCGCCCAAGAGUUCAUAUCGACGGCGGUGUUUGGCACCUCGAUGUCGGCUCAUCACAUCCUGGGGCUGAAGUAGGUCCCAAGGGUAUGGCUGUUCGCCAUUUAAAGUGGUACGCGAGCUGGGUUUAGAACGUCGUGAGACAGUUCGGUCCCUAUCUGCCGUGGGCGCUGGAGAACUGAGGGGGGCUGCUCCUAGUACGAGAGGACCGG